This 163-nucleotide ribosomal RNA is filed under the name uncultured eukaryote. RNAcentral's name for it is "partial 18S ribosomal RNA". It matches the Rfam family "Eukaryotic small subunit ribosomal RNA", at positions 1487 to 1650 of the family's 1831-position model. The record is from RNAcentral.
CCGCACGCGCGCUACACUGAUAAAGUCAGCGAGUAUUCACCUUGACCGGAAGGUCUGGGUAAUCUUUUGAAACUUUAUCGUGAUGGGGAUAGACCAUUGCAAUUAUUGGUCAUGAACGAGGAAUUCCUAGUAAGCGCAAGUCAUCAGCUUGCGUUGAUUACAU